GGAAGCAUGAGUUUGAAGGGUUUCUUCUUGCAUUUUCAUGGUGGGUCUUUGAUUUGAAUGAAGAGCUUUUCGUUUUUCUUUCUUCUUUGCUGCAGUAUUCAAGGUUUUCUAUUUAGUUUUCUUGGUUGAAUCAUGAAAAUAAAGUUCUUGUUAAGUUUGGAAGUGAACAAAGCUUGAGCUUGUGUAUGGGUGUUGAGGUUUGGACCAUUUCUUCUUGGGUUUUUGUUUGAUGGUUGGAAGAAGUAUUUUGAGUUGGACAUUGUGCUUGUUGAUGAUGGCUGGACGGUGCAGCAAAGGGGUCUAAGGAUUGCAUUUUUUUUUUAUUAAAAAGUUGAAGAAAAGUGAGUGUUGAAGUUGGAUUGAUGAGUAGUAGUUUGGGUUUAUUGUUCUUGAAUUAAUUUGCAACUUGAACUUGGGAUUCCUUGGUGUAUUCUCGGUGGAGAAGAGUUGGAGAAAACAUUUGGAUGCAUGUUNUUGAAGAAAAAAACGUUUGGUGUGUAGAAGGGAGAGAGAAAUGGUGCNUUUAAGUUUUUACCUCUUUUGGACAAGCAAAAUAUGAAGCACAUUUUCACUAAAGGAAUGUUUCCACUUUUGGUUUUGUCUUUUCUUUGCAUUGUUNCCGAGAAUCACCUUUNGGAAGGGAGUUUUUAGUUGGUUUAUUUCCUUUGACCUUGCCUACAUGGCAUCUUGGUUGGACCACCCAAAGUAUCUUUCCAUUAGAGUUGGUUUUUGAUGCACCUUUUUGCUAUUUGCUUGGUAGUUCACGGCAAUGUAGUAUCUUGGAGUGUGGUGUCCAAUUCUUUGCUGCAUGGUAGGAGAGAGAGGACGGUCCUAGUGUGUUUGGAAUGCACAUGCUUAAUUUNUUUGAGAAUGGUGCACAUAGGAGAAGAAGUCAACACAUUUUGUGGCUAUUUGAAGCAAGAAAGUCAAGUUUGGGUAUGGUGCAAGUGAGGUCAUGUACAAGAGGUCUUCUUAGGCCAUUUUCAUUUUNAAUUUCUUUAUUUGGUGCACACUUGGUCACAUGAAUUUCUAGGAAAAAGUUGUGUUUGCUUAUUUCUUUUGUUUAAAAUUAAUUUGCAUGCUAGGAUUAGUUGCUUUUGAUUUCUCUAAUUUAGCUUUGCAUUUAAUUUAAUUUAACUGUGUUUAGAUAUUUGAUUAGUCUAGUAUUGGGUUAGCAUUUUCACUCUCUUUAAUGCUUUAAUUGAUGUUCGCAUGUGUUUAAUUUUUAUUUCUAAUUUUGUCAGUUGCAUUCACAAACAAAACCAUUUUCAAACCCCCCCACUUCGUGUUAGACUCGAUUCUGAACCACAAAAUUGGUCCUUGAGAGACGACCUAGGAGUCACUUCCUAGCUAUACUGCAUUUCUUAUUAUGCAAUCAAAUUUGAUUGGGCGGUGACACCCAUCAAUGUUUCAUUGAAAUGAAGGUGAAAAAAGAAGGGAUAACCUACUGCCCAGAGCUACGCUCCUUAAGAGACCCAAACAGUACUCUCCACUCUUAAUUUGUUAAAAAACGGAAUAAUCCAUACCCACACACUCCUCUGACUUAUAAAGGUAACAACCAAAAGGGAAAUCUUCCAAGAUUCUCCCUUUUCUUUCUCAUUAACUAAUUCUGCUACGUGUCCCCCUCAGCUUCUUUUAUUUAUUUCUCCUAAUGUAAACUUGUCCCCAUUUUCUUUGCUGUUCUUUUUCUUUGUCCAAUAUAUUUUCUGGCCCAAUAGAUAGUUGGGCUGUAUCAAUACCUCCCUCUUGAAAGAUAGUCUUGUCCUCAAGACUAAAAGUUGGAAAUUGGACCUUCAUUGACAUCUCAUCNUCCCACGUUGCUUCUUCUACUGUUUUUCCCAACCACUGCAUCAGCCAUUAGUUAACCCUUUCUCCCUCCUUGCUUAU
This 1887-nucleotide long non-coding RNA is filed under the name Vigna radiata. RNAcentral's name for it is "long non-coding RNA (VRAD_LNC018084)". The record is from RNAcentral. Lineage: Eukaryota; Viridiplantae; Streptophyta; Magnoliopsida; Fabales; Fabaceae.